AUGAGGAGUAUUGCUGGGCCAGAGAUAACAUGUGGGAACGUGCAAGGUCAGCCCGUGUUUAGAUCAGAAGCCCCAAUUCUCCCUUUGAUUCCAGGAUGCGCAGCAACUGGCAGGAAAGCCGCCAUCUCUGCUCCACUAGGCUCCUUCUUCUCCUAUACGUGGGAUGCCUCCAAACGCACUAUUAGGACUUUCCGGAGCCUUAGGCCUGUGUGCCAAAUCUCAUCAACCGAAUGCAGUAAGUUACAUUGGAAUGCUGGCCAAGGAGCACCUCUCCCCUCCUAGAGGAGACACUGGGAUGAGACUGGAGGGGUGUCUGUAUGUUCUUGGUUGGGGAGAGGCGAGCAAAGAGCAAAGCAAGGAAUAGACCUGAUCAAAGCCUCCCCGAUGAGUUGCUGUUUUAAAAGCUGGGUGCCCUCUCUCUUUUGACUAAGAAGCAGAAUCAAGUGGGCGUCAUCUGCUCUGAUGGAACCAGGGAAAGCCAGUGGGAAGGACACGAUUUGGCUCCAGAAGCCCACCCCAGCCAAAGGACAUCACAAAGCUGGCCUGAGCGUUGUCACCUGCUUGUCUGGUGGGCUGUCCCAAGGUGGCCUAGGCAGGCAGGGGGCUAACCUGCAGUCUUUAGUUUUGUCUCUGAACCCAGAUAAUGAGACUGAAAUGCAGGAGUUUCCAGAAUGUGACAGGUAAAGUGGCCCUGAAAGAUAGCUCCAUGAUCCUCUUAUUUUAAGGAUGAGAAAACAGAGGUUUGGGCAGAGAGGGACUCACCCAUCCUGCAAAGAGGUCGGGAGUGCGCAGGGAUUCGACCUUAGAUCUCCAGUCUCCAGGCAGCCAUCCCUCUCUGCUGCCCUUUCAUCCAAUCCUCCAUCCACUUGUCCAUUUGUUCACUCUCUGGUGCUUCCUGUCCCCACAGUCCAUUGUCUGGACAGAAGCCACGAUGAUCUUUUAUUUUUCUUGUUUUAUUGGAGUAUAGUUGAUUUAUAAUGUCAUGCUAAUUUCUGUGCUAGCAAAGUGAUAAGUUAUACACAUAUAUAGAUAAUAGAUUGCAUCUGCGAAUCCCAAAUUCCCAGUUCAUCCUCCCUCCACCCCACCUCCCCUUUGACAACAUCCAGAGUUUUCACACUACUUGAUCUGACCCCUGCCUGUGUCCCCAAACUUCUCUUCUGAACUUGAGCUGGCGCCCACACGUCUAGACACAGUGGCCUUCCUUCUGCUUCUUGACCAGAACAAACUCCUAUCUCAGGGCCUUUGCAUAUGCUCUUUCUCCAUUUGGAAGCCUCUUCCCUGG
Molecule: long non-coding RNA, 1282 nt
Filed under: Bos indicus x Bos taurus (hybrid cattle)
Lineage: Eukaryota; Metazoa; Chordata; Mammalia; Artiodactyla; Bovidae
Description: lncRNA (ENSBIXG00000014718.1)
Source: RNAcentral